GGCUCAGGAUGAACGCUAGCGGCAGGCUUAAUACAUGCAAGUCAGGGGCAGCAUGGUGUAGCAAUACACUGAUGGCGACCGGCAAACGGGUGCGGAACACGUACAGAACCUUCCUUCGAGCGGGGAAUAGCCCAGAGAAAUUUGGAUUAAUACCCCAUAGUAUAGCGGAGAGGCAUCUCUCUGUUAUUAAAGAUUUAUCACUUGAAGAUGGCUGUGCGGCUGAUUAGGUAGUUGGCGGGGUAACGGCCACCAAGCCUGCGAUCAGUAACUGGGUGUGAGAGCACGACCAGUCACACGGGCACUGAGACACGGGGCCCGACUCCUACGGGAGGCAGCAGUAAGGAAUAUUGGUCAAUGGACGAAAGUCUGAACCAGCCAUGCCGCGUGGAGGAUGAAGGUCCUCUGGAUUGUAAACUUCUUUUAUAUGGGACGAAAAAAGGUCUUUCUAGAUCGUCUGACGGUACCAUAUGAAUAAGCACCGGCUAACUCCGUG
This 493-nucleotide ribosomal RNA is filed under the name uncultured bacterium. Its description in RNAcentral is "bacterial SSU rRNA". It matches the Rfam family "Bacterial small subunit ribosomal RNA", at positions 21 to 507 of the family's 1533-position model. The record is from RNAcentral.